CAGUAGCCGCGGUAAUACAGAGGGUGCGAGCGUUAAUCGGAUUUACUGGGCGUAAAGCGUGCGUAGGCGGUUUGUUAAGUCAGAUGUGAAAUCCCCGAGCUUAACUUGGGAACUGCAUUUGAAACUGGCAAGCUAGAGUCUUGUAGAGGGGGGUAGAAUUCCAGGUGUAGCGGUGAAAUGCGUAGAGAUCUGGAGGAAUACCGGUGGCGAAGGCGGCCCCCUGGACAAAGACUGACGCUCAGGUGCGAAAGCGUGGGGAGCAAACAGGAUUAGAUACCCCGGUAGUCCCUGUCUUUUAUAC
This 301-nucleotide ribosomal RNA is filed under the name uncultured bacterium. Its description in RNAcentral is "partial 16S ribosomal RNA". It matches the Rfam family "Bacterial small subunit ribosomal RNA", at positions 509 to 809 of the family's 1533-position model. The record is from RNAcentral.